RNAcentral lists this transfer RNA (70 nucleotides) under Strongylogaster xanthocera. RNAcentral describes it as "tRNA-Asp". Lineage: Eukaryota; Metazoa; Arthropoda; Insecta; Hymenoptera; Tenthredinidae. The record is from RNAcentral.
AAAGAAUUAAUUUAAAAAAAAUAAUAGUUUGUCAAGCUAAAAAUAUUAAUUUAAAAAUUAAUAUUCUUUU